CCAAUAGCGUAUAUUAAAGUUGUUGCAGUUAAAAAGCUCGUAGUUGAAUUUCGGGAUUGGCGCAUCGGUCGUGCCUCACGGGGUAUGAACUGGUGCAGUCAGUUUCUCACCUUCUGGAGAACCGCGAUGUCCUUAAUUGGAUGCCGUGGGGAACCAGGACCUUUACUUUGAAAAAAUUAGAGUGUUUAAAGCAGGCAUUUUUGCUUGAAUACAUUAGCAU
RNAcentral lists this ribosomal RNA (220 nucleotides) under uncultured Entrophospora. RNAcentral describes it as "uncultured Claroideoglomus partial small subunit ribosomal RNA". It matches the Rfam family "Eukaryotic small subunit ribosomal RNA", at positions 591 to 810 of the family's 1831-position model. Lineage: Eukaryota; Fungi; Glomeromycota; Glomeromycetes; Entrophosporales; Entrophosporaceae. The record is from RNAcentral.